Molecule: RNA transcript, 1150 nt
Organism: Peromyscus eremicus (cactus mouse)
Lineage: Eukaryota; Metazoa; Chordata; Mammalia; Rodentia; Cricetidae
Exons: 5
Source: RefSeq, a predicted model, not a curated record
UACCAGGUAACCAGCCAUCAACAGCAGCCUCAACUCACUCACUUCUCUGGAGGCACUAGAAGAGCAAGGAUGUUCUCUUGCUUCAGGUGUUUUGGUUGCUCACGCCGCCAAAAACCAAAGCUUCCUGGCCGGUUCCGACGUGUGCUGCGAAGUAUUUGUGCACACCUCUGUCUAUUUUCCUGUAGGAAAAAUGAGGAUGACAGGAUUCAGGAAGACGGCCCCAUAUUUGAUCCACGGAGCCCAACCUAUAUGCAAGACGUUAUCAAUCAUAUACCAAAAGCCUAUAAGGAUGGGAAUUACCUAUUUAUAGGUAUAAUAUUGACUAUCUACCAUAGGUUUGUGACCACCUGGGAGAUGCUGGACUUAAUUAUGGACACGUAUGGACCUUUGCAGCCAGACUGUAUGGAGGAUCAGGAAAAAAGGAAGUGAGUUGGCUUGGGUGACGAGGGAGUGCCUUGUUAUCCUUCCUAUCAAUAUGGACGUCAAAACAACCCCAGGACUUCAGGUCUCCAAACCUUGCCGUGGCCAAGAGGCUCGUGAAAUAUCUAUGGCCCGAUGAGCCUGCAAAAGACUUCACUCUCCAAGGGGAGGCGCUGGAGGAGCAGGACUGUAAAAUGGAUGAUGGACUCCUCAGGGAAGUUAAUACAGAGGCACCCAUGCAGGAUGCAUUAGGGAUGGUGGAGACUCUACAUGUGGGACCAACUUCUGUGGCAGAGCCCCGGGAAUUUCUGAAAACCCAAGAUGACACAGACCUGGCCCUUGGGGAACCAACCGUGCCAGAAGCUGGACCAGUACCACUUCAAACUUCAGACCAGCCUCUGCCCACUGAUGCACAGCCACCUCUAGAAGUGGCUGCAGAUGUUCCAGAUGCUGGGCGGCUCUUUCUAGUUUCUGUUGUGCAACUGGGUGCACCAGAGCCCUUUUUCCCUCUGCCUGAUGUUGACAUAGAUUGAGAUUGUUUAUUACCUGCCGAGUUCCACCCAGGACCAGCUGUCCUUCCCGUCUUUAGAGAAAGUAUCUCCUUUCGUUGUGUUUAAAACUUUUUAUUGUUGUUUUCAAAGUUAAUAUUAAUAUUGCCUUUAAUUAUAUUUAAUUAUUUUUCCUUGUUUUUUCAAUAUUAAUAUGUAUUAAUAAACAUUAAGUAUGCCUA